RNAcentral lists this ribosomal RNA (305 nucleotides) under uncultured bacterium. Its description in RNAcentral is "partial 16S ribosomal RNA". It matches the Rfam family "Bacterial small subunit ribosomal RNA", at positions 505 to 808 of the family's 1533-position model. The record is from RNAcentral.
ACAGCAGCAGCCGCGGUAAUACGUAGGUCCCGAGCGUUGUCCGGAUUUACUGGGCGUAAAGCGAGCGCAGGCGGUUAGAUAAGUCUGAAGUUAAAAGCUGUGGCUCAACCAUAGUACGCUUUGGAAACUGUUUAACUUGAGUGCAAGAGGGGGGAGUGGAAUUCCAUGUGUAGCGGUGAAAUGCGUAGAUAUAUGGAGGAACACCGGUGGCGAAAGCGGCUCUCUGGCUUGUAACUGACGCUGAGGCUCGAAAGCGUGGGGAGCAAACAGGAUUAGAUACCCCCGUAGUCCCUGUCUCUUAUACC